GCACAGCAACGGGUGGAGCGUGCGGUUUAAUUGGAUUCAACGCCGGAAAACUCACCGGAGGCGACGGUUACAUGAAGGCCAGGCUGAUGACCUUGCCUGAUUUUCCGAGAGGUGGUGCAUGGCCGCCGUCAGUUCGUACCGUAAGGCGUUCUGUUAAGUCAGACAACGAACGAGACCCUCAUCUUUGGUUGCUACUGGUAAGUCCGCUUAUCAGGCACACUAAAGAAACCGCUGGCGAUAAGUCAGAGGAAGGCGAGGGCAACGGUAGGUCAGUAUGCCCUGAAUCCUCCGGGCUACACGCGCGCUACAAAGGCUAGGACAAUGGGCUUCAACACCGAAAGGUGAAGGUAAUCCCGAAACCUAGUCGUAGUUCGGAUUGAGGAUUGAAACUCACCCUCAUGAAGCUGGAAUCCGUAGUAAUCGCGGAUCAACAUCCCGCGGUGAAUAUGCCCCUGCUCCUUGCACACACCGCCCGUCAAACCAUGCGAAUUGGGUCUGAGUGAGGAUGUAGUUAUUGCCACAUUCAAACUUAGGCCUACUAAGCGGGGUAAAGUCUUAACAAGG
This 564-nucleotide ribosomal RNA is filed under the name uncultured archaeon. RNAcentral's name for it is "bacterial SSU rRNA". It matches the Rfam family "Archaeal small subunit ribosomal RNA", at positions 876 to 1443 of the family's 1478-position model. The record is from RNAcentral.